AGGACGAACGCUGGCGGCGUGCUUAACACAUGCAAGUCGAACGGAUUCGGUGGCACUUGUGUUGCGGGUUAGUGGCGAACGGGUGAGUAACACGUGAGUAACCUGCCCCAGACUCUGGGAUAACUCCGGGAAACCGGUGCUAAUACUGGAUAUGACAUCAAGCCGCAUGGUUAUGGUGUGGAAAGUUUUUUCGGUCUGGGAUGGGCUCGCGGCCUAUCAGCUUGUUGGUGAGGUAGUGGCUCACCAAGGCGACGACGGGUAGCCGG
Molecule: ribosomal RNA, 266 nt
Filed under: uncultured bacterium
Lineage: Bacteria
Description: partial small subunit ribosomal RNA
Rfam family: Bacterial small subunit ribosomal RNA
Source: RNAcentral